Limulus polyphemus (Atlantic horseshoe crab) is the source of this 504-nucleotide long non-coding RNA. RefSeq lists it as uncharacterized. The record is from RefSeq and is a predicted model, not a curated record. NCBI's taxonomy places the organism in Eukaryota, Metazoa, Arthropoda, Merostomata, Xiphosura, Limulidae. The transcript has 4 exons.
CACGAGAGGUUGCUGCCCAUAUUCCUUUUGAAGUUGUCGAACGAGUCUAUCCACCUGUACCGGAACAGCUCCAGCUCCGUAUAGCAUUCUGGAGUUUUCCAGAAAAUGAAGAAGAUAUAAGAUUAUAUUCGUGUCUGGCAAAUGGAAGUGCUGAUGAAUUUCAAAGAGGGGAGCACCUUUUCAAAUCAAGAGCCGUGAAGGAAUUAUUGCAGAUAGGUUUUCAUUUAAGUGCCGUGGUUUUCCCAUCUCAAAAUCUAAGCAUUCCUAAGGGAUCUUGUAGCGUUGCUGUAACAUUUGAUCGUUGCCGAAUCACCUCCUGUACCUGCACGUGUAACAGUACUGCAUCAUGGUGUUCACAUGUUGUUGCUGUUUGUUUACAAAGAAUACAUCAGCCUAAUCAAGUACGUCUCCGAGCGCCUGUGUCAGAAUCCCUCUCUCGUCUUCACAGAGAACAACUUCAAAAGUUUGCCCAAUACUUAAUUAGUGAACUUCCUCAACAGGUAU